Molecule: ribosomal RNA, 426 nt
Filed under: uncultured bacterium
Lineage: Bacteria
Description: partial 16S ribosomal RNA
Rfam family: Bacterial small subunit ribosomal RNA
Source: RNAcentral
GUGAGGAAUUUUCCGCAAUGGGCGAAAGCCUGACGGAGCAAUGCCGCGUGAAGGAUGAAGGCCUAUGGGUAGUAAACUUCUUUUCUCAGAAAAGAAUUAUGACGGUAUCUGAGGAAUAAGCAUCGGCUAACUCUGUGCCAGCAGCCGCGGUAAGACAGAGGAUGCAAGCGUUAUCCGGAAUGAUUGGGCGUAAAGCGUCUGUAGGUUGUUUAAAAAGUAUUCUGUCAAAGAUUAGGGCUUAACCCUAGAUAGGCAGAAUAAACUUUUAAGCUAGAGUUUGGUAGAGGCAGAGGGAAUUCCCGGUGGAGCGGUGAAAUGCGUAGAUAUCGGGAGGAACACCAAAGGCGAAGGCACUCUGCUGGGCCAAUACUAACACUGAGAGACGAAAGCGAGGGGAGCAAAUGGGAUUAGAUACCCUGGUAGUCC